RNAcentral lists this transfer RNA (86 nucleotides) under Clostridiales bacterium. RNAcentral describes it as "tRNA-Leu". It matches the Rfam family "tRNA". From Rfam's summary of the family: Transfer RNA (tRNA) molecules are approximately 80 nucleotides in length. Their secondary structure includes four short double-helical elements and three loops (D, anti-codon, and T loops). Lineage: Bacteria; Bacillati; Bacillota; Clostridia; Eubacteriales. The record is from RNAcentral.
GCCGGUGUGUUGGAAUGGCAGACGAGGCGGACUCAAAAUCCGUUGCCAGAGAUGGCGUGUGGGUUCAAGUCCCACCACCGGCACCA